The sequence is a transfer RNA, 92 nucleotides long. It matches the Rfam family "tRNA". From Rfam's summary of the family: Transfer RNA (tRNA) molecules are approximately 80 nucleotides in length.
GCGGAUUUAGCUCAGUUGGGAGAGCGCCAGACUGAAGAAAACUUUGGUCGUUUGAAAUCUGGAGGUCCUGUGUUCGAUCCACAGAAUUCGCA